ACGAACGCUGGCGGCGUGCUUAACACAUGCAAGUCGAACGGAAAGGCCCUGCUUUUGUGGGGUGCUCGAGUGGCGAACGGGUGAGUAACACGUGAGUAACCUGCCCUUGACUUUGGGAUAACUUCAGGAAACUGGGGCUAAUACCGGAUAGGAGCUCCUGCUGCAUGGUGGGGGUUGGAAAGUUUCGGCGGUUGGGGAUGGACUCGCGACUUAUCAGCUUGUUGGUGGGGUAGUGGCUUACCAAGGCUUUGACGGGUAGCCGGCCUGAGAGGGUGACCGGCCACAUUGGGACUGAGAUACGGCCCAGACUCCUACGGGAGGCAGCAGUGGGGAAUAUUGCACAAUGGGCGGAAACCUGAUGCAGCAACGCCGCGUGCGGGAUGACGGCCUUCGGGUUGUAAACCGCUUUCGCCUGUGACGAAGCGUGAGUGACGGUAAUGGGUAAAGAAGCACCGGCUAACUACGUG
This 467-nucleotide ribosomal RNA is filed under the name uncultured bacterium. RNAcentral describes it as "partial 16S ribosomal RNA". It matches the Rfam family "Bacterial small subunit ribosomal RNA", at positions 29 to 507 of the family's 1533-position model. The record is from RNAcentral.